GCCCCCGGCAGCCCCUCCUGAUGAUUAUUCUUCCUAAGCCUGCUCAUGGUGAGCAAACUGAGCCUUUAAGUUGACUAAAGGUGCUGCUUCCCC
Molecule: small nucleolar RNA, 93 nt
Organism: Sapajus apella (tufted capuchin)
Lineage: Eukaryota; Metazoa; Chordata; Mammalia; Primates; Cebidae
Product: small nucleolar RNA SNORD125
Exons: 1
Source: RefSeq, a predicted model, not a curated record